CAUAACCAGGUUUCAAGAACAAACACCUAUUUUAGUUGCUGCUCCUGGGGAACUCCAAGUCUCCACAAUAUCUCAAGUCGUGCAACCCUGGGCUCCUUCCUGCCCAGCCUCUCAUCACACCGAGCGAUCGACGUGGGCUCUGUAUAUCUGUUUGUCCAUCUGAUUGAAUGGUCCACAUGUAGCUAUGACAGUGGAGAUCAUUACACAACAUGAAAAAGAGGACGGACAUCUGGUAUACCCACCAGACCUGGCCACUCCACAAACUUCCCACUUCCAUCAACCCCACUCCCUCCCCAUUGCUUCCAGCGGUGAGAAGCCUGAAGCUGGUGAUCAUUCCUCAGCCUCUGGCACCUGCAGCUCCCACCAGCGUGCUUGGCUCCCCCACGUUACCCCGAGUCCAGGCAGCUUCCCUCUGCCCCUGCCGUCCCAGCAGCAGAAUCUCCUCUAGAGACAGUCUGCCCUUCUCUGUUUCACACAGGCCAAGACACUCCUCACGUGGCUCUCAGUUUUGGUCCUUCCAUGGGCUCUUACUUCUAGAAGUUCUCAACUGAGAUAUAAUCCACUUCCCAUUGCUGCUCUGCCCACGGAACUCUUGGAAACCGGCUUCCAGACUUGGCUCUGCUGGUACUAAUUCCCGAGUCCCACUGUCAUCAGCUCCCUGGUUUCAUCCCUCACUCUAUUCAUCUGCUUCACAGAAAGGGAUUUGAUGGAGAUGAUUCACAAGGACCAGAGUCAAGAUCACAUGGGCCCCUGAAGAGACGGACAGGAGCCUGCAGUGGUGCUCUGACUCUCAGGACCCCUUGCCGUGGGCUGAGCAGGGGCUGAGCUGGGUCCUGCCCUGGGCCCCGCCUGCCUCGCUGCAUCCACAGAACCAAUGGCCAGACGGCGUGGCUUUGGUCACUGCUGCUCUUACCACUGCUGCUCUCAGCCACCUGCCCGCCCCCAGAGGCCAGAGCAGCAAGAAGUGUGGUCGGGUCUUCUUGUGCCCCCUGAUUAGGAGAGAGAAGCGGGACUCUGAAGUAGAUGGUGUUGAUCCAGACUGACAUGUGCUGUGACACGAGUGGGGCCCCCACAGAGCCGAGGGCUGCAGGCGUCCCUCCGGGGACUGAUGGGCGUCCAUGGAGGAGGAAGCCCGGCAUCUCCACAGACCUUUCUCCCCUGGGUUCCGACCCACCACGCCCACAUGGUGGCGAGGCCUCUGGUGGGCCCAUCUCGCACUACGGCUGCAACCAGCCAUCGUUUGCUGUGUCGCCCACACCUGAGUGAGGGCUGCUGGGGGCCUGUGGCUGAUCCCAGACUCGAGGGUAAGGGUGUGUGUGUGAACUGGGCCAGCGAUGCAGAUGGCACAGGCGGAGAGCCCCUCUGAUUGGCCAGAGCGCCUGCACACCAUCACUGCAUGUAAUCCACUGCGGAGACUUGGUUUUGCCAUAUUCUGCAGAAAUAAGACAAAUAGAAGAAUAACCAGACUGUGAAGAAACAGGAAUGGAAUUCUGGUGAGAAAAUUGCUUGAUAAUGGCUAACACUAUAUCAUAGUGAGCAAACCUAAAUGUGUCCAGAUUAAUGUAUAUUCACACCAAACAAAUGUUAAUUAAACAAGCUACAGUGUAAUGCUCUGCUCGGGCUCUGAAGCUAUGUGUCCACCAAACCGAGGCAGCCAGAGGCCCAGAAAUGCCAGGCACCACUCUCUCUGUGUCGCCUACUUAUUGUUCAGCGAAGAUGCCCCCUCUGGCUUGCACAUGUCAUUGCUGGGAGAGCUGUCUGGCUAACUCAGUAUUUCCUACAGGUAUUGAUCACGCAUUAGUCAUUCCAAUAAAAGUCAGAAGAGCUGCCCACCGUGUGGGAGGGGUUUGAUUAGCCUCCUUUUGCAAAAGGGCCUCUCCCUCCUCUUUGAGUUGGAAGGGUGGAGAUGUCUUUUUGAAUUUUUACUAUGGACCAGCCAAAGCCUCUCGGACAACACACAGUAGCACUGAUUUCAAAGUAAGUCUGCAGGUGUUAAAGACCUACACUUAUCUCAUGAGAAAGUGUCCUGUAUUCAGAAAAGAAAAAGAGAUAGGGCGUUGCCUUGUCGGAGUUAAAAACGUGUCCCUCUGCCCGUGCCACGCCAUUUGACUGCGGUCAACAGGCGCUCCUCAGCCUUCUUCCCUUUUCCUAACAGAACAGAGGACCAGACAGAAGCCCUGCCUCUCCCUGGACCCAGAUGGGGGGAGGGGAAGGCCAGGGACUCCCAAUGGGCUCAGCUUUUCCAAUGAGAGUGUGUCCACCCAGGUCAUGAAGGGGUGGAGGUUUUCUCACUUCAGGAUGAUGAGCAUGAGAGGAAAGGCGACAGGACCAGGCCUGGAGGUGGGUCGGUCCAGCAGAGGGGCAGCGUCCCGCUCUGGUGUCGGGACCUGAGUUUACACUGUGGGUGUGGCCAGUUACCCACCCUCUCUGAGCCCCAUCUCCUUCAUCUGGAAAAGGGGGAGGAAAAUCGCGUAGGUUUGUCGCUUGUUAAGUGAGAAA
This is a long non-coding RNA of Myotis davidii, 2499 nucleotides long. RefSeq lists it as uncharacterized. The record is from RefSeq and is a predicted model, not a curated record. The transcript is spliced from 3 exons. Lineage: Eukaryota; Metazoa; Chordata; Mammalia; Chiroptera; Vespertilionidae.